AUUUCAUAACAAUCAUCAUAAUUUAUCCAAAUUGAACAUUGGAUGCCUUUUGUAAGAAAGAAUUUCAGAAUGAAGGGGCAAUGCUAUUAGGAUUUUCCAUGUUAACAAUGACAUUAAAAUCCGUCAUCGUCUUCCCCUCCCUAAAUCUUGAUUGAUGAUAUAAAUGUAUUUCCUUUCAGUAAUGAAUAUUUUUCAAUUUUAUUAAAUUCAAAUAAACAUGAGACAAUACAGAUUAUACUUGGCAUCUUUGCUAAUUUUGGCACCUUGCUAAUUUUGCCAAAUAUAUUUGGCAAAUAUUUGACUUGUUUACAAAACCUAGAUUAAUUUCUUGUAUCAAUUUCCACAUGUCCAUUACCUUAGUGAGCUAGAGAAGGACAGGAACUUAAUCAAUGAAAUGUUGAGUAAGCAUUUGUGGAUACAGAGUGAAUGUAAACUUUUUUAUGAGGGAAACUUAAGUGGCUUCCUUACAGGUUUUUUCUG
RNAcentral lists this long non-coding RNA (480 nucleotides) under Bos taurus (domestic cattle). RNAcentral describes it as "long non-coding RNA NONBTAT000200". The record is from RNAcentral. Lineage: Eukaryota; Metazoa; Chordata; Mammalia; Artiodactyla; Bovidae.